AUGCACUCGCCGGCGCGCUGCCCCGCCGCCACCACCGCGUCCUCGCCUCUGCGCGCGCCGUUCGUCGCCAUGGCCCAGCGCGGCCGCAGGCCGCCCUCGUCCGCGGCCCCCGAGGCCGAGCAGCCGGAGGAGGCGCUCGCCCGCAUCCUCCGCACCGAGGCCGCCGUCUCCGGCGUCUCCCGCAAGGCGUCCGCGGGCUCCAGCCAGCACUCCACCCGCCUCUGGCCCCGCGCCGUCCUCCAGGCCCUCGAUUCCGCCGUCGCCUCCUCCCGCUGGGAGUCCGCCCUCGAGGUCCGCUCCCUCCUCAACCCCUCUCUCUCUCUCUCUCGUAUGGUCCAGCCGGUGCGCGCUACCUGUUCGACUGAUGCUCACCACGUAAGGAUUGCUGUUUCUCAGAUCUUCGAGCUGCUGCGGAAGCAGCGGUGGUACGAGCCGAGGACGCAGAUCUACGCCAGGCUGCUGAUGAUGCUGGGCAGGUGCCGGCAGCCCGGCCCGGCCACCGCCCUCUUCAAGGUGAUGCUCUCGGAGAAGCGGCUCGCGCCGACGGUGGACGUGUACACGGCGCUCGUUGGCGCCUACGGCUACAGCGGCCUGCUGGACGAGGCGAUGGCCACGGUCGAUCGGAUGAAAGGUGCUGACGCAGACUGCAAGCCGGACGAGUACACCUUCUCUGUCCUCAUCAAUUGCUGCUGUAAGUCGCGCCGCUUCGACCUGAUCCCCACCGUCCUCGACGAGAUGUCAUAUCUGGGGGUUGGAUGCAACGUUGUCAUCCACAAUGGGAUAAUUGAUGGGUACGGCAAGGCCGGCAUGCUAGAGGAGAUGGAGGAUGCGCUGUCCAACAUGCUUCAAGAUGGGGACAAUGUGCCGGACAUAUACACGAUGAACUCCAUCAUCUGGGCCUAUGGCAACCGUGGCAGGGUGGAUGACAUGGAGAGGUGGUAUGGUGAGUUUCAGUUGAUGGGCGUUGAGCCAGAUACGCGGACUUUCAAUAUCAUGAUGAAGUCUUACGGCAAGGCUAACAUGCCUGACAAAAUGUUGUCGGUGCUGAAAUAUAUAAAGCGGCGCUUCUUCUCACCCUCUGCCGCUACGUUCAACAUAAUCAUAGAGUGUUUUGGAAGGGCUGGCAACAUUGAGAAGAUGGAGUACUAUUUCAGGCUGAUGAAAAUUAAGGGUGUCAAACCCAACCCCAUCACGUACUGCUCGCUGGUUAAUGGAUACAGCAAAUCUGGGCUCCUUGAUAGGGUUCCUGCAAUUAUUCGGCAGACGGAGAACACUGAUGUUGCCUUAGAUACUCCAUUUUUCAACUGUGUUAUCAGUGCAUACGCCAAGUCUGGCGAUAUCAAAAUAAUGGAGGAAAUGCUACAGCUAAUGAAGGAAAAGAAAUGUAAGCCUGGCAAGGUAAUUUAUAGCACCAUGAUUCAGGCAUAUAUUGCCCAUGGAAUGGAGGAAGACGCUAAGUUAUUAGAAAAAGAACUGGAAAGAGUUGACGAGAAGUUGCUUGAUCUGUUCUGA
This 1512-nucleotide ribosomal RNA is filed under the name Triticum aestivum (bread wheat). RNAcentral's name for it is "partial small subunit ribosomal RNA". The record is from RNAcentral. Lineage: Eukaryota; Viridiplantae; Streptophyta; Magnoliopsida; Poales; Poaceae.